Molecule: ribosomal RNA, 449 nt
Filed under: uncultured bacterium
Lineage: Bacteria
Description: partial 16S ribosomal RNA
Rfam family: Bacterial small subunit ribosomal RNA
Source: RNAcentral
GAUGAACGCUGGCGGCAGGCCUAACACAUGCAAGUCGAACGAAGUCUUCGGACUUAGUGGCGCACGGGUGAGUAACACGUGGGAAUAUACCUUACGCUGGGGGAUAACAUCGGGAAACUGAUGCUAAUACCGCAUACGCCCUUCGGGGGAAAGAUUUAUCGGCGAAAGAUUAGCCCGCGUCUGAUUAGCUAGUUGGUGGGGUAAAGGCCUACCAAGGCGACGAUCAGUAGCUGGUCUGAGAGGAUGAUCAGCCACACUGGGACUGAGACACGGCCCAGACUCCUACGGGAGGCAGCAGUGGGGAAUAUUGGACAAUGGGCGGAAGCCUGAUCCAGUCAUGCCGCGUGAGUGAUGAAGGCCUUCGGGUUGUAAAGCUCUUUCGCACGCGACGAUGAUGACGGUAGCGUGAGAAGAAGCCCCGGCUAACUUCGUGCCAGCCGCCGCCGUAA